Molecule: ribosomal RNA, 473 nt
Filed under: uncultured bacterium
Lineage: Bacteria
Description: bacterial SSU rRNA
Rfam family: Bacterial small subunit ribosomal RNA
Source: RNAcentral
UCAGGACGAACGCUGGCGGCAUGCCUAACACAUGCAAGUCGAACGGGGGUAGCAAUACCCUAGUGGCGAACGGGUGAGUAACACAUAAGCAAUCUGCCCUUCACAGGGGGAUAACAGCGGGAAACUGCUGCUAAUACCGCAUAAGACCACGGUACCGCAUGGUACAGGGGUAAAAACGAAUCAGUGGUGAAGGAUGAGCCUAUGUCCCAUUAGCUAGUUGGUGAGAUAACAGCCCACCAAGGCGACGAUGGGUAGCCGACCUGAGAGGGUGAUCGGCCACACUGGAACUGAGGCACGGUCCAGACUCCUACGGGAGGCAGCAGUGGGGAAUAUUGGGCAAUGGAGGAAACUCCUUACCCAGCAAUGCCGCGUGAGUGAAGAAGGUCUUCGGAUUGUAAAGCUCUUUGAUUGGGGACGAAGAAAGUGACGGUACCCAAAGAACAAGCCCCGGCUAACUACGUGCCAGCAGCUGC